AGAGUUUGAUCCUGGCUCAGAGCGAACGCUGGCGGCAGGCCUAACACAUGCAAGUCGAACGAACUCUUCGGAGUUAGUGGCGGACGGGUGAGUAACACGUGGGAACGUGCCUUUAGGUUCGGAAUAACUCAGGGAAACUUGUGCUAAUACCGAACGUGCCCUUCGGGGGAAAGAUUUAUCGCCUUUAGAGCGGCCCGCGUCUGAUUAGCUUGUUGGUGGGGUAAUGGCCCACCAAGGCUACGAUCAGUAGCUGGUCUGAGAGGAUGACCAGCCACAUUGGGACUGAGACACGGCCCAAACUCCUACGGGAGGCAGCAGUGGGGAAUCUUGCGCAAUGGGCGAAAGCCUGACGCAGCCAUGCCGCGUGUAUGAUGAAGGUCUUAGGAUUGUAAAAUACUUUCACCGGUGAAGAUAAUGACUGUAGCCGGAGAAGAG
RNAcentral lists this ribosomal RNA (435 nucleotides) under uncultured bacterium. RNAcentral describes it as "bacterial SSU rRNA". It matches the Rfam family "Bacterial small subunit ribosomal RNA", at positions 8 to 489 of the family's 1533-position model. The record is from RNAcentral.